This 392-nucleotide unclassified non-coding RNA is filed under the name soil metagenome. Its description in RNAcentral is "partial contains 5.8S ribosomal RNA, internal transcribed spacer 2, and large subunit ribosomal RNA". The stretch from base 1 to 123 matches the Rfam family "5.8S ribosomal RNA", at positions 35 to 154 of the family's 154-position model. The record is from RNAcentral.
GAUGAAGAACGGCAGCGAAAUGCGAUACUUGGUGUGAAUUGCAGAAUCCCGUGAACCAUCGAGUCUUUGAACGCAAGUUGCGCCCGAAGCCAUUAGGCCGAGGGCACACCUGCCUGGGCGUCACACGUCGUUGCCCCCCCAUCUACUCCUUCGGGAUUGCGGGGGGCGGAUGAUGGCCUCCCGUGCGCCUCGUCGCGCGGUUGGCAUAAAUGCCAAGUCCUCGGCGACGCACGCCACGACAAUCGGUGGUUGCGAAACCUCGGUUGCCCGUCGUGUGCGGUCGUCGCGCAUCGAGGGCUCGAAAAAAUUGCCGGGCUCCGGCUCGGCUUUCAACGCGACCCCAGGUCAGGCGGGGUUACCCGCUGAAUUUAAGCAUAUCAAUAAGCGGAGGA